This is a non-coding RNA of Podarcis lilfordi (Lilford's wall lizard), 74 nucleotides long. Lineage: Eukaryota; Metazoa; Chordata; Lepidosauria; Squamata; Lacertidae. The record is from the annotation of a GenBank genome assembly.
GGGUAGCUCAGCUGGUAGAGCACGAGACUCUUAAUCUGGGGGAUGUGAGUUCGAGCCCCGUGUUGGGUGAACUA